GGCGAAUGAGUGCAUAGCCGAUCUUGAGAGGUGACUGUCACACCUGGAUCUGAGACACCUGUCCCUGGAUUUCUACGGAGGCAGCAGUUAGGAUCUUCGCAAAUGAACGAAAGGUUCAUGACGAGCAACGGCGCCGUGAGCGAGAAAGGUCUUCGAUCGUAAAGCUCUGUGUCAGGGAAGAACACGUACCGUCGAACAGGGCGGUACCUUGACGGUACCUGACGAGGAAGCCACGGCUAACUACGUGCCAGCAGCCGCGGUAAUACGUAGGUGGCAAGCGUUGUCCGGAAUUAUUGGGCGUAAAGCGCGCGCAGGCGGUUCCUUAAGUCUGAUGUGAAAUCUCGCGGCUCAACCGCGAGCGGCCAUUGGAAACUGGGGAACUUGAGUGCAGGAGAGGGGAGCGGAAUUCCACGUGUAGCGGUGAAAUGCGUAGAGAUGUGGAGGAACACCAGUGGCGAAGGCGGCUCUCUGGCCUGUAACUGACGCUGAGGCGCGAAAGCGUGGGGAGCGAACAGGAUUAGAUACCCUGGUAGUCCACGCCGUAAACGAUGAGUGCUAAGUGUUAGAGGGUAUCCACCCUUUAGUGCUGCAGCAAACGCAUUAAGCACUCCGCCUGGGGAGUACGGCCGCAAGGCUGAAACUCAAAGGAAUUGACGGGGACCCGCACAAGCGGUGGAGCAUGUGGUUUAAUUUGAAGCAACGCGAAGAACCUUACCAGGUCUUGACAUCCCCUGACAACCCUAGAGAUAGGGCGUUCCCCUUUCGGGGACAGGGUGACAGGUGGUGCAUGGUUGUCGUCAGCUCGUGUCGUGAGAUGUUGGGUUAAGUCCCGCAACGAGCGCAACCCUUGACCUUAGUUGCCAGCAUUCAGUUGGGCACUCUAAGGUGACUGCCGGCUAAAAGUCGGAGGAAGGUGGGGAUGACGUCAAAUCAUCAUGCCCCUUAUGACCUGGGCUACACACGUGCUACAAUGGGUGGUACAAAGGGCAGCGAAACCGCGAGGUGGAGCGAAUCCCAAAAAACCACUCUCAGUUCGGAUUGCAGGCUGCAACUCGCCUGCAUGAAGCCGGAAUCGCUAGUAAUCGCGGAUCAGCAUGCCGCGGUGAAUACGUUCCCGGGUCUUGUACACACCGCCCGUCACACCACGAGAGUUUGUAACACCCGAAGUCGGUGGGGUAACCCUUACGGGAGCCAGCCGCCGAAGGUGACCAAAAGGG
RNAcentral lists this ribosomal RNA (1217 nucleotides) under Aeribacillus sp. Its description in RNAcentral is "bacterial SSU rRNA". It matches the Rfam family "Bacterial small subunit ribosomal RNA", at positions 271 to 1474 of the family's 1533-position model. Lineage: Bacteria; Bacillati; Bacillota; Bacilli; Caryophanales; Bacillaceae. The record is from RNAcentral.